RNAcentral lists this ribosomal RNA (497 nucleotides) under uncultured bacterium. RNAcentral's name for it is "partial 16S ribosomal RNA". It matches the Rfam family "Bacterial small subunit ribosomal RNA", at positions 28 to 507 of the family's 1533-position model. The record is from RNAcentral.
GAUGAACGCUGGCGGCGUGCCUAAUACAUGCAAGUCGAGCGAACGGACGAGAAGCUUGCUUUUCUGAUGUUAGCGGCGGACGGGUGAGUAACACGUGGAUAACCUACCUAUAAGACUGGGAUAACUUCGGGAAACCGGAGCUAAUACCGGAUAAUAUUUUGAACCGCAUGGUUCAAAAGUGAAAGACGGUCUUGCUGUCACUUAUAGAUGGAUCCGCGCUGCAUUAGCUAGUUGGUAAGGUAACGGCUUACCAAGGCAACGAUGCAUAGCCGACCUGAGAGGGUGAUCGGCCACACUGGAACUGAGACACGGUCCAGACUCCUACGGGAGGCAGCAGUAGGGAAUCUUGCGCAAUGGGCGAAAGCCUGACGGAGCAACGCAGCGUGAGUGAUGAAGGUCUUCGGAUCGUAAAACUCUGUUAUUAGGGAAGAACAUAUGUGUAAGUAACUGUGCACAUCUUGACGGUACCUAAUCAGAAAGCCACGGCUAACUACGUG